AUUAGAUACCCUGGUAGUCCGCGCCGUAAACGGUGGGCGCUAGUUGUGGGAACCUUCCACGGUUUCUGCGACGCAGCUAACGCAUUAAGCGCCCCGCCUGGGGAGUACGAUCGCAAGAUUAAAACUCAAAGGAAUUGACGGGGCCCCGCACAAGCAGCGGAGCAUGCGGCUUAAUUCGACGCAACGCGAAGAACCUUACCAAGGCUUGACAUAUACCGAAAAGCAGCAGAGAUGUUGUGUCCGCAAGGGUGGUAUACAGGUGGUGCAUGGUUGUCGUCAGCUCGUGUCGUGAGAUGUUGGGUUAAGUCCCGCAACGAGCGCAACCCUCGUUCUGUGUUGCCAGCAUUUAGUUGGGGACUCACAGGAGGCUGCCGUGGUUAACACGGAGGAAGGUGGGGAUGACGUCAAAUCAUCAUGCCCCUUAUGUCUUGGGCUGCACGCAUGCUACAAUGGCAGGUACAAAGGGCUGCAAUACCGUAAGGUGGAGCGAAUCCCAAAAAGUCUGUCUCAGUUCGGAUUGAGGUCUGCAACUCGACCUCAUGAAGUCGGAGUUGCUAGUAAUCGUAGAUCAGCAACGCUACGGUGAAUACGUUCCCGGGGCUUGUACACACCGCCCGUCACGUCACGAAAGUCGGUAACACCCAAAGUCAGUGGCCCAACC
RNAcentral lists this ribosomal RNA (661 nucleotides) under uncultured Actinomycetes bacterium. RNAcentral describes it as "bacterial SSU rRNA". It matches the Rfam family "Bacterial small subunit ribosomal RNA", at positions 777 to 1440 of the family's 1533-position model. The record is from RNAcentral. Lineage: Bacteria; Bacillati; Actinomycetota; Actinomycetes.